RNAcentral lists this long non-coding RNA (420 nucleotides) under Capsicum annuum. Its description in RNAcentral is "long non-coding RNA (CANN_LNC010111)". The record is from RNAcentral. Lineage: Eukaryota; Viridiplantae; Streptophyta; Magnoliopsida; Solanales; Solanaceae.
CUUACUGAGGACAUAACCCUAAAUAGGAAUAUCUGGAGGAUGCGAAUUAGGAUAGAAGACUAGUGUCAGUUUGGGUCGCUAGUGUAGGUAUUACUUGGUGGAUGUAUUAUUCUUGCUAAGACACCUUGUUUCAUACUCUAUUACGAUUUUGUUUACUUUUCUUUGGUUACUAUUACUUGUGGGUGUCGUAUUUAUGUUAUGUCAUCAUGUUCUAUGCUUUAUUAUGGAUUUGAUUAUUAUUCCUUGUCUUGAGCCAGGGGUCUAUCGAAAACAGCUUUUCUACUUCUUCGGAGGUAGUGGUAUAGACUGCGUACAUCUUACCCUCCCCAGAUCCCACUAUGUGGGAAUACACUGAGUUUGUUGUUGUUGUUGUUGUUGUUGUUGUUCUUUCAACAAUGCAGCCCCUACCACCGGUCCUCC